Molecule: long non-coding RNA, 559 nt
Organism: Chenopodium quinoa (quinoa)
Lineage: Eukaryota; Viridiplantae; Streptophyta; Magnoliopsida; Caryophyllales; Amaranthaceae
Exons: 2
Source: RefSeq, a predicted model, not a curated record
CAUUUAUUCUCUUUGUGCGCCUCUUCAUUAGCCUUCUAAAUCUCAGCCCUCCAUUUUUUCCCUUCAGAACCCACGAUCUCCAUCGUCUCCCACAAACAAAAUUGAUAAACUCCCAUAAACCCACCUUCACCCAUUUCAAUUCUUUUUUAAGCUUGAACCAAAAAUAAUUCUCCAUAACUUCUUUUUCCUUCUUGUCUUAGUUUUUAAGCUUCAGACUAUCUCCUUCACCACCGUUCUUCACCAAACUCUCUUAUCGCCAAGGUCGAUUUCAGGCCACCUUUGGCUCCGAUUUUGUCAAUGGAAGCGGUGCAUCUUUCGUCUUGCGAUUUCUUCUCUGAUUUUCUAAUGUUUACUUCUCAUCUCUAGCCUGAUUCAUCAAUGGAAGCAAGAAUAGCCGACUUAUUUGAUUCGAAUUUUUUUUUUUAAUUUUUUAUCGCAUUCUUCUCCAUUAUACAGAGUAUUGAGAAGUUCAAUUACUGUAUUAAUUUUUUUUUUUAAGUAGAAUUGUAUUAUACGAAAGACUAUAAUACGAGUAUGAGUUAUAAAUUUAGAAUACGUA